GUUUGAUUAACACCUUUAUGAUCGACAGACACAAUGGAGAAAAUCAUUUUCUUCUUCUGUGUAUUUUCUUGGAAUAUGCAAACCACAUCCAGUGAUGUGUCAGUGCGAGGAUCUUCUGAUCUGUUAAGAGUUCAGACGGGAGAAAACAUCAGUCUGAACUGCAGCAUGACGAACCGAUAUGAAGUCGCCUGGUAUCACCUCAGAUCUGGAGAACUGGAUCUACUGAUUGCGGCAGAGAAAGACAAAAAAGGAAGAAAACUCCUGAUCAACUACAAUCCAAACAGCCCUCGUCUGAAAAUGACUGCAGACGCUUGGGUCACCAGAGCCACGCUGGUUAUUUCUGGAGUCACGGAGUCAGAUUCUGGUCUUUAUUUCUGUGGAACAAAGUCUGACGCUCCAGAGAUGUUCUUCGACAAACCCUUCAGACUAGAGAUCGAGGGUCUUAUUGUAGUACAAGAGACAGAAGAAGAAGCUGACAACACAGAUGGAGUGACUACAAAAGAGAGGGCAUUGAUGUUCGGUGGUGUUGGUCUGGCUGUGUUUGUGUUUUUUCUGGCUACAGUCGUCGCAGGAGGAAUCAUUCACUAUCACGCUUGGCAGAAAGGAUGGGCUGCAGCCAAACGCUCAUCUUCGAUUCACCACAAAUCGGUUAAAUAACUUCUAUUUCUGCUACAGUUUGACUCAAUCUAUCCCUGAGCUUUGCUUUGCAUUGCUGUAGUUCACCACAAAUUAAAACAGAAAACUGUGGCUCAGAUGCUUUUCCUGUUGAGCAGAUUUACAGAUGUGUUGCGGCAAAUGUCGUCUUUUUCAGCACAUUUCAGUUUGAAUGUCAUCAGGCUGUAUAUUUAUCUAGAGGAGCAUUAUAUGUAUACUCAUAUGCUCAUUUCAAGAGAAUAAACUCAAAAAACAGCAAACAUAUGCUUUAUUGCACAUUAUGCACAUUUUAUAUUCAUCUAGAGAAGCAUUAUUAUAUCCAUAUAAGCUAAUUUAGGAGAAAAUAUAAAUGUCACAUG
Molecule: non-coding RNA, 1013 nt
Organism: Onychostoma macrolepis
Lineage: Eukaryota; Metazoa; Chordata; Actinopteri; Cypriniformes; Cyprinidae
Source: the annotation of a RefSeq genome assembly